AGGGGGUUUGAUCAUGGGCUCAGGACGAACGCUGGCGGCGUGCUUAACACACGCAAGUCGAACGAUGAAACUUCCAUGAUCUAUUCGUAGAGAUUGGGAGCGGAUUAGUGGCGAACGGGUGAGUAACGCGUGAGCAACCUGCCUUAAACAACGGGAUAGCCUCGGGAAACCGGGAUUAAUACCGUAUGAGACCCCGCCUUCCCAUGAAGAAGAGGUUAAAGAUUUAUCGGUUUAAGAUGGGCUCGCGUCUGAUUAGCUAGUUGGUGAGAUAAAAGCCCACCAAGGCAACGAUCAGUAACCGGCUUGAGAGAGUGAACGGUCACAUUGGAACUGAGACACGGUCCAAACUCCUACGGGAGGCAGCAGUGGGGAAUAUUGCACAAUGGGGGAAACCCUGAUGCAGCGACGCCGCGUGAGCGAUGAAGGAAUUCGUUUCGUAAAGCUCUGUCCUAGGGGNAGNAUAAUGACAGUACCCUUGGGAGGAAGCCCCGGCUAAAUACGUGCCAGCAGCCGCGGUAAUACGUAUGGGGCGAGCGUUGUCCGGAAUU
RNAcentral lists this ribosomal RNA (548 nucleotides) under uncultured Bacillota bacterium. RNAcentral describes it as "bacterial SSU rRNA". It matches the Rfam family "Bacterial small subunit ribosomal RNA", at positions 1 to 552 of the family's 1533-position model. Lineage: Bacteria; Bacillati; Bacillota. The record is from RNAcentral.